AUACGUAGGGUGCAAGCGUUAAUCGGAAUUACUGGGCGUAAAGCGUGCGCAGGCGGUUUUGUAAGACAGAGGUGAAAUCCCCGGGCUCAACCUGGGAACUGCCUUUGUGACUGCAAGGCUAGAGUACGGCAGAGGGGGAUGGAAUUCCGCGUGUAGCAGUGAAAUGCGUAGAUAGGCGGAGGAACACCGAUGGCGUAGGCACUCCCCUAGGCCUGUACUGACGCUCAUGCACGAAAGCGUGGGGAGCAAACAGGAUUAGAUGCCCUUGUAGUCCACGCCCUAAACGAUGUCAACUGGUUGUUGGGGAUUUAUUUUCUCAGUAACGAAGCUAACGCGUGAAGUUGACCGCCUGGGGAGUACGGCCGCAAGGUUAAAACUUAAAGGAAUUGACGGGG
RNAcentral lists this ribosomal RNA (395 nucleotides) under uncultured bacterium. Its description in RNAcentral is "partial 16S ribosomal RNA". It matches the Rfam family "Bacterial small subunit ribosomal RNA", at positions 523 to 918 of the family's 1533-position model. The record is from RNAcentral.